Molecule: long non-coding RNA, 99 nt
Organism: Alosa sapidissima (American shad)
Lineage: Eukaryota; Metazoa; Chordata; Actinopteri; Clupeiformes; Clupeidae
Exons: 3
Source: RefSeq, a predicted model, not a curated record
UUUUUAAGUGUACUGGAAGGUUUAUCCUGGAAGGUUUCACUAUGGCUGAUAGUGUCCAUGGAUUGUGAUUCUCCCUGAACUAAUCCAAAAACAAGUGUA